AUGGAUUUUCUUGAACCAACAUUAGCCUUAGAUGAGACACAUUAUCAAGAGGGUUAUACAAAUGGGUAUGAUGAUGGCCUGGUAUCUGGAAAGGAAGAGGCAAGGCAGGUUGGCUUAAAGAAUGGUUUCCAGGCUGGCGAAGAACUGGGAUUCUAUCAGGGCUGCUUGGAUGUGUGGAUGUCAGUAAUUCGCCUUGAUCAAGAUGCAUUCUCAGCUCGGGUGAGGAAAUACAUGGAGCAACUAGCUGCACUUGUGAGCAACUAUCCUUUGUCUGAUCCAGAGGAUGAGCAGCUUCAAGGCAUGAUGAGGGAGAUAAGACUGAAAUUCAGCGUUAUCACGGGAAGCUUAGGAGCAAAAUUGGGGUAUGAAGGUCGCCCCACAUCAUCUGAGCAAGACAUCGAGGAUAUGUAG
RNAcentral lists this ribosomal RNA (411 nucleotides) under Triticum aestivum (bread wheat). RNAcentral describes it as "partial small subunit ribosomal RNA". The record is from RNAcentral. Lineage: Eukaryota; Viridiplantae; Streptophyta; Magnoliopsida; Poales; Poaceae.